CCAUAGUCCCAUUGUAACGGCAUCCUUUUGUGUAGCGAAGUAAAACAAAAGAAAAGACAUAGUGAAAAGAGGGAAAUUGC
This 80-nucleotide unclassified non-coding RNA is filed under the name Chryseobacterium sp. RU37D. Its description in RNAcentral is "Flavo-1 RNA". The record is from RNAcentral. Lineage: Bacteria; Pseudomonadati; Bacteroidota; Flavobacteriia; Flavobacteriales; Weeksellaceae.